GUCGAGCGGUAGAGAGGUGCUUGCACCUCUUGAGAGCGGCGGACGGGUGAGUAAAGCCUAGGAAUCUGCCUGGUAGUGGGGGAUAACGCUCGGAAACGGACGCUAAUACCGCAUACGUCCUACGGGAGAAAGCAGGGGACCUUCGGGCCUUGCGCUAUCAGAUGAGCCUAGGUCGGAUUAGCUAGUUGGUGAGGUAAUGGCUCACCAAGGCGACGAUCCGUAACUGGUCUGAGAGGAUGAUCAGUCACACUGGAACUGAGACACGGUCCAGACUCCUACGGGAGGCAGCAGUGGGGAAUAUUGGACAAUGGGCGAAAGCCUGAUCCAGCCAUGCCGCGUGUGUGAAGAAGGUCUUCGGAUUGUAAAGCACUUUAAGUUGGGAGGAAGGGCAUUAACCUAAUACGUUAGUGUUUUGACGUUACCGACAGAAUAAGCACCGGCUAACUCUGUGCCAGCAGCCGCGGUAAUACAGAGGGUGCAAGCGUUAAUCGGAAUUACUGGGCGUAAAGCGCGCGUAGGUGGUUCGUUAAGUUGGAUGUGAAAUCCCCGGGCUCAACCUGGGAACUGCAUUCAAAACUGUCGAGCUAGAGUAUGGUAGAGGGUGGUGGAAUUUCCUGUGUAGCGGUGAAAUGCGUAGAUAUAGGAAGGAACACCAGUGGCGAAGGCGACCACCUGGACUGAUACUGACACUGAGGUGCGAAAGCGUGGGGAGCAAACA
This 718-nucleotide ribosomal RNA is filed under the name uncultured bacterium. Its description in RNAcentral is "bacterial SSU rRNA". It matches the Rfam family "Bacterial small subunit ribosomal RNA", at positions 61 to 774 of the family's 1533-position model. The record is from RNAcentral.